Molecule: long non-coding RNA, 319 nt
Filed under: Oryza sativa (Asian cultivated rice)
Lineage: Eukaryota; Viridiplantae; Streptophyta; Magnoliopsida; Poales; Poaceae
Description: long non-coding RNA (OSAT_LNC000988)
Source: RNAcentral
ACCGCCGCCGCCGCCGCCUCCUCGGCCGACGUCACCUCGACGGCGUCGGCCUCGGUCUCCUCCUCCUUCUUCGUCGCGACGUCCUUGACGGAGACGGAGGUGCAUCCAUUGGAAGACGACGAGGAGGAGGAGCGGUGGCUGGCGGAGACGGAGGACUUCCUCCGGAAGAGCUUGCUGCUGCCGGCGGCGGCGGGGGCGGUGGUGUUGCCGGUGGCCACGUCCUCCUUGGAGCCACCGCAACCCAUGGCCGGCGCCGCUGCUGACGCCGACGACGCCGGAGGAGGAGGCGGAGGAGGAGGAGAGGAAUCGGCGGAGCUUG